UACGGAAGGCAGCAGUGGGGAAUAUUGCACAAUGGGCGCAAGCCUGAUGCAGCCAUGCCGCGUGUGUGAAGAAGGCCUUCGGGUUGUAAAGCACUUUCAGCGAGGAGGAAGGGUUCGGUGUUAAUAGCACUGUUCAUUGACGUUACUCGCAGAAGAAGCACCGGCUAACUCCGUGCCAGCAGCCGCGGUAAUACGGAGGGUGCAAGCGUUAAUCGGAAUUACUGGGCGUAAAGCGCACGCAGGCGGUUUUGUUAAGUCAGAUGUGAAAUCCCCGAGCUUAACUUGGAACUGCAUUUUGAAACUGGCAAGCUAGAGUCUUGUAGAGGGGGUAGAAUUCCAGGUGUAGCGGUGAAAUGCGUAGAGAUCUGGAGGAAUACCGGUGGCGAAGGGCGGCCCCUGGACAAAGACUGACGCUCAGGUGCGAAAGCGUGGGGAGCAAACAGGAUUAAGGAUACC
RNAcentral lists this ribosomal RNA (456 nucleotides) under uncultured bacterium. RNAcentral's name for it is "bacterial SSU rRNA". It matches the Rfam family "Bacterial small subunit ribosomal RNA", at positions 340 to 786 of the family's 1533-position model. The record is from RNAcentral.